AUUGAACGCUGGCGGCAGGCCUAACACAUGCAAGUCGAGCGGAUGAAGGGAGCUUGCUCCUGGUUUCAGCGGCGGACGGGUGAGUAAUGCCUAGGAAUCUGCCUGGUAGUGGGGGAUAACGUCCGGAAACGGGCGCUAAUACUGCAUACGUCCUGAGGGAGAUAGAGGGGGAUCUUCGGACCUCACGCUAUCAGAUGAGCCUAGGUCGGAUUAGCUAGUUGGUGGGGUAAAGGCCUACCAAGGCGACGAUCCGUAACUGGUCUGAGAGGAUGAUCGGUCACACGGGAACUGAGACACGGUCCAGACUCCUACGGGAGGGAGCAGUGGGGAAUAUUGGACAGUGGGCGAAAGCCUGAUCCAGCCAUGCCGCGUGUGUGAAGAAGGUCUUCGGAUUGUAAAGCACUUUAAGUUGGGAGGAAGGGCAGUAAGUUAAUACCUUGCUGUUUUGACGUUACCAACAGAAUAAGCACCGGCUAACUUCGUG
RNAcentral lists this ribosomal RNA (484 nucleotides) under uncultured bacterium. RNAcentral describes it as "partial 16S ribosomal RNA". It matches the Rfam family "Bacterial small subunit ribosomal RNA", at positions 30 to 507 of the family's 1533-position model. The record is from RNAcentral.